UAGGGAAUAUUGGGCAAUGGCGGAAACGCUGACCCAGCCAUGCCGCGUGCAGGAUGAAGGCCUUCUGGGUUGUAAACUGCUUUUACCAGGGAAGAAAAUACCUUUGCGAAGGGAACUGACGGUACCUGGUGAAUAAGCACCGGCUAACUCCGUGCCAGCAGCCGCGGUAAUACGGAGGGUGCAAGCGUUGUCCGGAUUUAUUGGGUUUAAAGGGUGCGUAGGCGGCGUAAUAAGUCCGUGGUGAAAGCCAACAGCUCAACUGUUGAACUGCCAUGGAUACUGUUAGGCUUGAGUACAGACGAGGUAGGCGGAAUGGAUCGUGUAGCGGUGAAAUGCAUAGAUACGAUCCAGAACUCCGAUUGCGAAGGCAGCUUACUAGGCUGUAACUGACGCUGAGGCACGAAAGCGUGGGGAGCGAACAGGGAUUAGAUACCCUGGUAGUCCACGCUGUAAACGAUGAUAACUCGAUGUUGGCGAUACACAGUCAGCGUCUUAGCGAAAGC
This 503-nucleotide ribosomal RNA is filed under the name uncultured bacterium. RNAcentral's name for it is "bacterial SSU rRNA". It matches the Rfam family "Bacterial small subunit ribosomal RNA", at positions 355 to 858 of the family's 1533-position model. The record is from RNAcentral.